AAAUUCUAGUGUCGUACCUAGUUUUUUAUGGCUCUACUGGCAAUCUGGGUACAACAAUUUUUGGUGAUCAUCUAUCAUGCGCUGCAACUUUGCUGCUUCCUUCUCAGUUUCGCAAUCUCUGUGUGCAUCUCGUAGCACCUGACCAAGGUUAUCAGUAGGGCCAUUUUCUGCAAACUCAUCUUCAUCAGCCUCGCCCAUUAUAGUAUCUGCAAAACCUUGGCCUGCAACCCAGUCCGAAAUGUUGCCAUCCUCCUCCUCCUCCUCG
Molecule: long non-coding RNA, 265 nt
Filed under: Setaria viridis
Lineage: Eukaryota; Viridiplantae; Streptophyta; Magnoliopsida; Poales; Poaceae
Description: long non-coding RNA (SVIR_LNC005079)
Source: RNAcentral